This 1518-nucleotide long non-coding RNA is filed under the name Macaca fascicularis (crab-eating macaque). RNAcentral describes it as "lncRNA (ENSMFAG00000047262.1)". Lineage: Eukaryota; Metazoa; Chordata; Mammalia; Primates; Cercopithecidae. The record is from RNAcentral.
UUUUUUUUUUUUUUGAGACAGAGUCUCACUCUGUCGCUGGGCUAGAGUGCAGUGGCAUGAUCUUGGCUCACUGUAAUCUCUGCCUCCCAGGUUCAAGUGAUUCUCCUGCCUCAGCCUCCCAAAUAGCUGGGACUACAGGCACACGCCAUCAUGCCCAGCUAAUUUUUGUACUUUUAAUAGAGACGGGGUUUUACCAUGUUGGCCGGGAUGGUCUCCAUCUCUUGAUCUCAUGCUCUGCCCGCCUCAGCCUCCCAAAGUGCUGGAAUUCAGGCGUGAGCCACCACGCCCGGCCUGUGCCCUAAUUCUUAAUCAAAGAAUGAAUCAAGUUCUCAUUUUUCCACAUAAUUCUUUUGAUAAAAUUGCAGCCGCAGUCAACCUCUUUCCCCCCAGGUUUGAGUUUUGUAGCCCGAUCAAAGAAGUCAUUUUCAAAAAUUCUCAAGCGCUCCAGAGCCUCCACAGGAGCCUCUUUUCCUCCUGGCAGGGUCUCCAUUCCCUUUGGGAAAUUCUGCCUCAUCCUCAUCCCUGCUGGUCCCAGUCCUUUAGUGUUCAUUGGUCUACAUCUGCCAGGUCCUCACUGUUGGACUUUGUGGGUGAUUCAAGUAAUGCUUCCCAUUGCAUAGCAGUAUAUACAGGCUCACCCACUGCCCCGUGGUGCACCCACCCCACAUCCACUGUGAGACCCCUAGUAGGGACCAGACAGUCCCUUAUGCCCAGUGGAGUGCAGGCAGCCGGCUCUGAGAGCCAACUGUGAAAUGUUCAGGAACUUUGCUAAUUGGUGGUUACGUCUUUGGCAGCUUGAAAUCAGCCAUGAUGGGAGUAUUUACACCUGGGAAAUUGGCAAUUGCUACAAAUCAGGGUUGUUGGGCUUUUUUUUUCCAAAAGAGUUUUUAAAAAUAUUUUUAACCAACACACCACUGCAGUCACACCCACCCCACAGCCCUCACUUUGAGAGGAGGCACUUGUUAUCAAAUUUGGGGCACCCUCUGCAUGGGUUCCAAUAUCCAGGCCCCAGCUGCCUCCUCUUUUCCUGCUUCCUUAGAAGGGGACCCUGGGUCCCAAAGCCCCUAUGCUGAGACCACUCCCGCUCCUCAGCACCAUCCCCUAACAGCACCGUCCCCUGACAGUGCCCCUGCCUGGGUCCUAAGGCACACAUUCAGUGGGUCCACAGAUAUUUACUGAAUCUUCAAUGUGUCCAAGAAUUGUCCUAAGAACUAGAGCAAUUUUAUUGGGAGUAGUUGGUUACCAAGUAGUUCACGGAUCUCAGACAUUCUGGUUGAAUGCACUCAUCACAGAAGAGAGGAGUGCAACAGUUUGCAAUAAAAUAGACCUCUCCUUUGCCAUCCAGGCACACACAAAGAAGAAACAGUGAACGGUCAGUAUUCCACCCAGAUUCAGGCAACACAUCCCAACCCAUGUGGUAUCCUCCCUGUGCCACAGGAACGGGGUAGGGUGGGAGUUCUCUGGCCACCUGCCUCCCGAGCUCUGUCCAUGGGAAUCCAAGCUGCCAGGGAGAACCAC